Molecule: long non-coding RNA, 420 nt
Organism: Oreochromis aureus
Lineage: Eukaryota; Metazoa; Chordata; Actinopteri; Cichliformes; Cichlidae
Exons: 3
Source: RefSeq, a predicted model, not a curated record
AGGAGUGAUAAACAUCUUCCUAUCUGAGUGUGUGAUGUAGUGAACGGUAUUCGAAAAGGAAGCCGCCUGAGCACUCAUUACUGGAGUUAUUGUAAGAAUAACACUAAUGAAUGCAUAUGGAAAGGCGUCCUCGGGGGCUAAAAGAAGGAACUCUGAUGUUGAAACAGCCUUAAAGGGCUUUCUUCCAGGAUAAAGUCACGACCCAUCCUACUCCACCCACAAACACCGUAGAGAGGAAGACUCGCUCUCUAGUGGAAGGCAAUGCAUAUAAAUGGAGCUUCUCCUUUAAAGAGGCGCUCAGUUGGACAACAAAGCAGGCCUUUAAAGCACAGAGCUGCUUUCUUCACAUGCCUGUGUGCAAAGGUGGAAAUCUGGGCAGAGUGGAAGAUGAAGUAAUGGGAGAGGAAUGGAUAGAUGAAG